This 798-nucleotide ribosomal RNA is filed under the name uncultured Glomeromycotina. RNAcentral's name for it is "SSU rRNA". It matches the Rfam family "Eukaryotic small subunit ribosomal RNA", at positions 314 to 1114 of the family's 1831-position model. Lineage: Eukaryota; Fungi; Glomeromycota. The record is from RNAcentral.
AUCAACUUUCGAUGGUAGGAUAGAGGCCUACCAUGGUGGUAACGGGUAACGGGGUGUUAGGGCACGACACCGGAGAGGGAGCCUGAGAAACGGCUACCACAUCCAAGGAUGGCAGCAGGCGCGCAAAUUACCCAAUCCCGACACGGGGAGGUAGUGACAAUAAAUAACAAUACAGGGUUCUUUCGGAUCUUGUAAUUGGAAUGAGUACAAUUUAAAUCUCUUAACGAGGAACAAUUGGAGGGCAAGUCUGGUGCCAGCAGCCGCGGUAAUUCCAGCUCCAAUAGCGUAUAUUAAAGUUGCUGCAGUUAAAAAGCUCGUAGUUGAAUUUCGGGAUCAAGGAAUCGGUCAUGCCUUGGUAUGUACUGGUUUUAUUGGUUCUCACCUUCUAAAGAACCAUAAUGUCAUUCAUUUGAUGUUAUGGGGAAUUAGGACUGUUACCUUGAAAAAAUUAGAGUGUUUAAAGCAGGCUUACGCUUGAAUACAUUAGCAUGGAAUAAUGAAAUAGGACAUCAGAUUCUAUUUUGUUGGUUUCUAGGAUCGAUGUAAUGAUUAAUAGGGAUAGUUGGGGGCAUUAGUAUUCAAUUGUCAGAGGUGAAAUUCUUGGAUUUAUUGAAGACUAACUACUGCGAAAGCAUUUGCCAAGGAUGUUUUCAUUAAUCAAGAACGAAAGUUAGGGGAUCGAAGACGAUCAGAUACCGUCGUAGUCUUAACCAUAAACUAUGCCGACUAGGGAUCGGAUGAUGUUAAUUUUAUAAUGACUCAUUCGGCACCUUACGGGAAACCAAAGUGUUUGGGUUC